UGCAAGUCUAGGGGUAGCAAUACCACUGGCGCACGGGUGAGUAACACGUAGGUUAUCUACCCCUAUCACAGACAUAACCUCGGGAAACCGAGGCUAAUAUCUGAUGAGGUCGCGAGAUCAAAGCUUCGGCGGAUAGGGAUGAGCCUGCGGCUGAUUAGCUAGUUGGUGAGGUAAUGGCUCACCAAGGCGACGAUCAGUAGCUGGUCUGAGAGGACGAACAGCCACACUGGAACUGAGACACGGUCCAGACUCCUACGGGAGGCAGCAGUGAGGAAUAUUGGUCAAUGGGAGCAAUCCUGAACCAGCAAUGCCGCGUGUGGGAUGACAGGGCUUCGCCUUGUAAACCACUGUCGGAUGGGACGAAAGGAACCCUCGGGGUUCUGGGACGGUACCAUCAAAGGAAGGGUCGGCUGACGGGGGGGCCAGCAGCCGCGGUAAUACGUAGGACCCGAGCGUUGUCCGGAUUUACUGGGUAUAAAGGGUGCGUAGGCGGCCUUGUGCGUCAGAGGUGAAAUAUCCGGGCUUAACCCGGAGGGUGCCUUUGAUACGGCAGGGCUUGAGUGCGAGAGAGGAUGAUGGAAUUCCUGGUGUAGCGGUGAAAUGCGUAGAUAUCAGGAGGAACACCGGUGGCGAAGGCGGUCAUCUGGCUCGCAACUGACGCUGAGGCACGAAAGCGCGGGGAUCAAACAGGAUUAGAUAC
RNAcentral lists this ribosomal RNA (700 nucleotides) under uncultured bacterium. Its description in RNAcentral is "bacterial SSU rRNA". It matches the Rfam family "Bacterial small subunit ribosomal RNA", at positions 56 to 785 of the family's 1533-position model. The record is from RNAcentral.